UAUCACCAAAUACAACUAACAUUUCAAUAUUAUGAAUGAACACGAAUGCGGCCACUUUCAUUUAAGACGGAAACCGUCUAAAAUUUAAAUAAAAUGCUAAAAUUGUGAAGAUUUCAGUAAUUUAGCAUGACUUAAUGAUGCUAGUACCCGAUAUAUGUACAUUGUAUUGUCAAAAACAGCCCAUAUUUAUGUAGCAGAAGCAUUCUACUUUCCAGUAAAUAUCUAAAAGAUUACAUUUUCACAAUUUUGUAAAACUGCUAUAUUUUGGGGCC
Molecule: long non-coding RNA, 272 nt
Filed under: Mytilus galloprovincialis (Mediterranean mussel)
Lineage: Eukaryota; Metazoa; Mollusca; Bivalvia; Mytilida; Mytilidae
Source: RNAcentral